GAGAGAAGUCCGUUCGACAGUAGGGACUGCUAAUCUUCUACCCCCCUCGGUUAAACUCCGUGGUUCACUCG
Molecule: transfer RNA, 71 nt
Filed under: Thymallus burejensis
Lineage: Eukaryota; Metazoa; Chordata; Actinopteri; Salmoniformes; Salmonidae
Description: tRNA-Ser
Source: RNAcentral